GUUCAAAUAGCUUAUAUAGAGUGUGGUGCUGAAGACACUAAGGAGGGAUUUCCUUUGGACA
This 61-nucleotide transfer RNA is filed under the name Scolytus schevyrewi. RNAcentral's name for it is "tRNA-Phe". Lineage: Eukaryota; Metazoa; Arthropoda; Insecta; Coleoptera; Curculionidae. The record is from RNAcentral.